GUCCACGCUGUAAACGAUGGGUGCUAGCUGUGGUGGGUAUUGACCCCUGCCGUGGCGACGCUAACGCAAUAAGCACCCCGCCUGGGGAGUACGGUCGCAAGAUUAAAACUCAAAGGAAUUGACGGGGGCCCGCACAAGCGGUGGAGCAUGUGGUUUAAUUCGACGCAACGCGCAGAACCUUACCCAGACUUGACAUCCACGGAAUCCUGCAGAGAUGUGGGAGUGCCCGCAAGGGAGCCGUGAGACAGGUGCUGCAUGGCUGUCGU
Molecule: ribosomal RNA, 266 nt
Filed under: uncultured bacterium
Lineage: Bacteria
Description: partial 16S ribosomal RNA
Rfam family: Bacterial small subunit ribosomal RNA
Source: RNAcentral